CAACUAUUAUUUAAAUACAUUUGAAGACAUUUGGUUGUAUAAUUGCCGAGAUAUAGCUAUUUUAAAUUAGCGGUUUCAAAAAACGGGUGCCACGAUAUUUCCACACAUCUUUGACCAAAUCGGCUCAAAAUUUUGGUGAAGCCUCGUUAAACCGGUCCUGUGUGCAUGACAAAGCCCGAUUUUCUAAAAGUUUAUUUGAUAAAAAGAUAAAAAUGUUUCUAUGUUUUUCAUAUAAAAAAUCGCCAGUUUUUGAUUUUUGUAUUUUUUUAAAGUGCAAAAUUUCAAAAUCGGGCUUCGUCAUGCACACGGAAUAUGUCUUGCAAGUCUUCACCUCAAAUUUCAACCAAUUUGGUCCGUCCCAUCUCGAGAUAUCGUGGCACCCGUAAUUCAACUCGGUGUUCAGAUAAAACCGCUCACAAAGUUUGACUUUGCGCAUGGCCGAAUUUUGAGCGUGAAUCGUCUCUUACUGCUCUUACUCAGUUUAAUCAUGAAAUAUUUUCAUGGAACUUUCAGGAGUGAUUGAAAAUCAUAUUUUAAGUGGAUUUAACAAAUUUUCUGAAUUAUGAAAUUUUGUGAUUUCCUACAUGUAUGUAACCCAAGUGGCAGUGCGUGGCCAAAUGGUUACGCUGUCCGCUUUGUAAGCGGAUGAUUCUGGGUUCGAUUCCCAUCUGCUGCAACCUUCCAUCGGAUGAGGAAGUAAAAUGUCGGUCCCGGCCUUGGUUGUUAGACCGUUAAGUCAUUCCAGGUGUAGGAGUCGUCUCCAUGCCAUAAGUACAAACAACACACCAAACCAAGCCUACUCCGGUGGAAUCGCUGGCAGCGGUUGGACUCGCAAUCCAAAGGUCGUCAGUUCAAACACUGGGGUGGAAGGUUCCUUGGAGUAGAAAGAGGUUUGGGUGCUCUCUCCAUUCAAGCCUUCGGACUCCUAGGUUCGAGCAGUUGCAAUAGAGACCACAAAAGACCCGGGGGUCGUUAAUGUGGAUGGUUUGAUUUUGAUGUAACCCCUUAAGUGAUUUAAAUAAUGCUAUAUCUCGAAGCCAUUGCAUCGUAUCAACAAGUGGUCAAAGAUAAACUUGUAGGAAAUUGGACGGGCUUUCUGAAAAAUAUACACUGAAAGAACGCCACUUUUAUGAGAUUUUUGGAUUUUUAAGUUUAAUAGUAAAAUUUAACGUUGAGCCCCCUAUUUUUUCAUUUUUUUUUGUGGAAAUAGAUGUUACAAUAAGAUGUUACAAAAAGACUCACAAAAAAAUUAGAAUGGAGCAACUGGAGCAACAAACGCGGGAAUCGAUUCUCCAGACAAUUUUACAUAAAAGUCUCCAUAUUGACCAUUGCCUUAAGUCAAAUCCUUGUGCAGUUACAGCGGUUUUUAUAAUAAAACGUUACUUAAUUUACCUUUAGGUGGUUGGUGCCUUCCUCUCAUUUAUAUAAUGAUUCCAACCCCCCUAAAAUGUCCACAUGGUUUAUGGAUCGCCCCUAACGUGAUGUGAUGAGUAAAAAAAAAACAGACGGCCUACAGACUUUUUGUCAAGAUUGUACAUACACAGCCGUGGGGCAAUAGAUUGAGGUUAUGUAAUUUUAGAACAUUUUUUAAACUGCUUUUAAUUUUAGAAAGGUUAGUCAGAUCUUGAAAAAUUUUAAUCCACAAGAAAGGUCAUUUCAGAACCUUUCUAAAAAUAUAUAAUAUGCCAGGUUUUCAUGCAAAAACCACCCUUUUUUGCAAAUUGUGAAAUUUAUAUGCAGCAGUUUUUUAAGCAUAACUUUUGAUGUGCUUUACUAAAUCUCAAUAGGGACUUAUGGGACCCCAAGACGAAUCGAAUGAGGCCAAUACGGUCAAAAUCGGCUCAGUCAGUGACUAGAUAUUCCAGUGACAUUGAUUCGGUACACAUCAUGUCUACAUACAGCCAAACACACAGACAUUUGCUCAGCUGGUGAUUCUGAGUCGAUAUGUAUAAAUGAAGGUAGGUCUAGGAAGUCUAACUAAAAAGUUCAAUUUUCGAGUGAUUUUAUAGCCUUUCCUCAGUAAGGUGUGGAAGGCAAAAAUGUUGAAAAACAGAGGUUUUGUUGCCAUGUUUUGGCUUUUCUAUAUGUAAAACUUGAUUUUUCAGUCUCGAAAAUAUUUUCAACGGAAAGCUCGUCCAAUUUCCCAUAAGUUUGUCUUUUGGCUUUUAAAACUUAAAAUCUAAAAAUCGCAUAAAAGUGACGUUUUUUUUCAGUGUAUAUUUUUCAGGAAGCCCUUCUCAAUUGUCAUCAUCGAGUAAAACUGGCUCCAUAAAUGGCUUAUAUAAGCGUAGGAUAACUGUCUACAAAGUUUCAUUGAAAUCAGGGGCUGGGCUGGAAUUGCUCUAAAAUAAAACCUAAAAAUCUAAAAUUUUGGUAUAUUUUCGAAUUGUAAUUUAGGGGCCAUCCAUAAAUACCUGCACCUGGUGUUUUUGUAUAGAAAAUUAUGGAUGAUCCCUAAUUGUGUAAUUAAUAAAUAAAAAACCUUAAUUUUCUUCUAAAUAUACUUUUUCUAAUUUUUUAAAUUUUUUAGUUUUGUAUUUUAAAUUCUCUGAAAAUUAUCAACAUCUCUUAAAUCGGGCGCCAUCCACAAAUGACGUCGCACUUUUUCUAGGAUUUUUGAAGGAUAGAAUAAGCAGGCCAAGGAUUGAUACCUAAGAGCAUGCAAUGGCACUGACCUUGUUGCGUGCUCUUCGGUUGACGUCCACGUAAGGAACAUCCUGGAAGGAGCGCAACUAACUACAUCCGUAGUUCUGUUAGAUCAUCCGAAUUAUCUUGAUCAGAACAGUAUAGCUCUGGUUCCUUGCGAGUGUCCUAUUUUCUUACCUCCACGUUGGCUUGGUUUUCAUGAUGACCUAGCUGGUGGCCUGUGGAAACGGAUCGUAAACCUUUAACCACCGCGGGUCAGGACAAGACGGCUAAAAGAAAGGGGCGCGACAAUGUGGGAAAGGGAAGUAAUUUGUGAUUGUAGACGGUAUUGUUUUGAUUCGCAGUAUGUUGAGUCAACUGCUGUGGAUGUACCUGAAACAUCGCACAACGGGGUUUCUCUUCUCAUCUUUCUCAGCUACCA
Long non-coding RNA from Culex pipiens pallens (northern house mosquito), 3067 nucleotides. RefSeq lists it as uncharacterized. Lineage: Eukaryota; Metazoa; Arthropoda; Insecta; Diptera; Culicidae. The record is from RefSeq and is a predicted model, not a curated record. The transcript has 2 exons.